RNAcentral lists this transfer RNA (72 nucleotides) under Camelus bactrianus (Bactrian camel). It matches the Rfam family "tRNA". From Rfam's summary of the family: Transfer RNA (tRNA) molecules are approximately 80 nucleotides in length. Their secondary structure includes four short double-helical elements and three loops (D, anti-codon, and T loops). Lineage: Eukaryota; Metazoa; Chordata; Mammalia; Artiodactyla; Camelidae. RNAcentral also lists the same sequence under 3 other names. The record is from Rfam by way of RNAcentral.
GAGGGUACAGCUCAGUGGUAGAGUGUGUGCUUAGCAUGCACGAGGUCCUAGGUUCAAUCCCCAGUACUUCCA